Myodes glareolus (Bank vole) is the source of this 3375-nucleotide non-coding RNA. The record is from RefSeq and is a predicted model, not a curated record. NCBI's taxonomy places the organism in Eukaryota, Metazoa, Chordata, Mammalia, Rodentia, Cricetidae.
UGCCCAGAUACAUUCAUGCACUGCGCACACAGGAUACUUGCUCCUGGGAGAUAAGAGCUGACCAGGAACAAUGACGGGGUCUACGCCCAGUGUCCGCGCCCUGAUUCCUGCAGUCUGCAACACCCCCCCCCCCCACCUUCUCCCCCCACCAAAUCCAAAGCCAAACGCCUCUGGCCUCUUUCCUUUCCCUUGGGCCUUUGGCCGAAGGUGGCCCUCCUGACUCAUUCACUUUCCGUUUCUUCCCACAGAUACAUCCAUUAAUGCCUUUUCCAGCCGGAGUCAAACUUUUCGGGAAUGGGAGGAAGAAGGCGGGAGAGUUUGCUAGGAAAGGGAAUAACCUGGCACCGACGCUAGAGAAGAUUCGGAUGUAGAUCAAGCCAUCAAGAAACUACUUUUGGGCGAGCGUGCCCUCUACACCAAUUGGCAGCACUGGGGAGCGCGGCACCCCGCGGUUGAGCACAGCCCCAACCUUCUUCGCUGAGACCCAGAAGUCCGAGGGUUUGAGCUGGGGACUGUCAUCCCCACCCAGUGGCGUGGCCCUCUUUGCCCGCCUAGUUCUCUCUGAGAUCUCCUACCUCCCCUGCUGGACCCAGGAGCGGUCUACUUAGGCUGCCUCUGGGGUACCCGCGCUCGCGGCCUGACUCCCUUCUCCCCAACAUCCAAAAUAGAUUACCUUAUCCACGCUCUUCAGACCACGCUGUGGACUUCCUCACUUUUAUUUAAGAGUCCUCCCGGGAAAAGAGGGUGGGGGAAAUCCAGAGCAGAUCCGAAUAAAUUGGAAAAAAAAUUCAAAAGGGUGUCCACGGCAGCAAAAAGGUGACUUAUAAAUUCUUUAUUUCUUCAGGAGCAAUUGCGCUCCCUCGCCUCCCUCCCUUCCCCUCCCCCCUAUCCAAAUUAGUCUCAUCAAUUCAGCUCCAAUUUGGGGUUCGAAUACAGACACGGGUCUGAACGUGACCAGACCUGGAGUGGCGGCGCAGACUGCCAGCAAUUGAGACUCGGUUUACUGUGGGGGGUGGGGUGGGGGCCGGGCCCACUCCCCCUCCUCCUGUCUGCUUCUCAAUCCAGGGGUCUGCUCCGGGGCUCCCCUGGGACCGCCACAUCUGGUUACCGCUAGCGGGGUCAGUCCCCCCCUUUGCCUGGGGCCACCAGUUCUGGAGUUCAAUUAAAAGAAAUCAGGCUUAACCCUUUCCUGCCUGCGGCCGGGCCGCCCGCCCUCUGGCUCUUCCAACUUCAGCGUUUCCACAUGCUUUCCAGAGAGGAAAGAGGUUAAAGGGAAAGGAAGAAUGAAUUACAUCCUUUCAAACCCCAAAUUGUUUCCUUUUCAGCCCAGACUCUACAGACAUUCAAAGGACAACGUAGUUUUCAGGAGGGUGCACCCAAGCCUUACCGUGCUUCUCUCUGCCCCCAAAGGACUGUUUACUUCGCCACGAGGUCCCCCUUCCAGGCACUGGACAGACAGAGGCCACUAAUAGCCACUUCACAUGUAGUAACUAACUCAGUCCCCCUUAGAAAGCACCAAGUAGCAGGCAACCAUUAGGUUUUUCUUUCCAACUUUUUUGAUCUGACAAAUGACAGUCAUCUUCACUACAGUGACCAGCAGUCGCUGGAAAAACCCCUGACUUCUCUGAGCCCAAUUUCUUCUCUCAUCAGUGCUGCUCAAGGAGAAUCCAGAUCAAAACGAAGACUUGAACUCCCAUCUUAGCUGGGAAACUUAAAGAGUGCUUUUGUCUCUGCCCGCAAAACUGACACUAUAAAACACUUUCUCGUUUUUUUGGGCGGGAGGGGGAGGCUAGCGUGUACACACACACACACACACACACACACACACACACACACACACAUCCCCUUGCCCCACAUAGUUGGACAUAGGGACCACUGCAGUCUUUGGCUAUUUGCCACCAAACCCUCCAUUCACAGGGAUCUCCACCCAGAAUAAGGCUCAGUCCCCCGGUUUGAGCAGAUUUGGGAUAGGAUGUCAGAUUCCUUCCAUCCUAUGUUGCCGCGCUGGUGGGCAAGUUUGCUUGCUUAUGUAACUCUGGGUUUGGUACUCCACUCUAUCCUCCUCCUGGUUCUUUUUUAAAUCCCGAAGGGGGGAAAAGCCCUAACCAAACACAACAGUAAACAAGUCUGCCCUGUUUAAUGUGGUUACCACCAGACAUCUGGAAAGAUGGUUUGAUCCUGGCAGCUCACAUUGUUUUCAUGAGCAGCCAAAGAGAAUAUUUUGAAUGUUUGCAUUGAGACAAAUUGAUAGAGAGCCUGCGGUGAGGCCUGCUGCAAAUGAAAACUGUCUUGUGCUGGGAGAGGGCAGGUCCCUCCCCUUCUCUCACUUCUCACUCCCCUUCCCUUUCCUCGCCCUCUUCCUUCUCCCCCCCUCCUUUUCUGGCUCUCUGUGGCUCUUAUCCAUCCUUUCGCCUGCCUGUCUACCAGUCUAGCUCAAGAAUGGCAGUCCCUGCCCACACAGUGGUGGACGCCCUCUUUACCGGAGCUCCAAGGACUGUGGGCUUCACUGUUUCUCAGACUGGGCCUGGCAGGGAGCUAGAAGUUGGUAAGGUACCAUCGCAGCAGUUCCACUAGCUCAUUCUUCCUCUGAUUUUCAAGUCAGGGGAAGCUCAGAGCCAAAGAUGCCAGGCUACACAUUUCUUUUUAUAAGCCACCAACUGGAAAAAAAAUUUCAAUAGCAAAACAUCCUGGCUCACAUUUCUAAGUUGUAUAGAAGAUACAGCCACGUGGGUGAAUAUUUAGGAAGCAUUGAAUUUGGAGAAUUUUCAUUAAAGCGUUGAUGAAGCGACUUGCUUUGUACCAUACACACUUGACAAUUUCAAAGAUGCGGAAGUCCUGCUUCCCCAGGGAGGAGAACCGCCAACAAAACGUGUCUUGGCUCGCUCAAUGUCAGCCCUUUUGACCGGGUCAAGACUUUCCAGACGCAGGCUUCCCGGGCUCCUUUGGUCCCAGCCUGGAACUGGAGUGGGAGGACCUAACAAUCGAGCCUGAGGUGCCUUCGGAUCCUGCAACGACUGGGUCAUUUGAAGCUCCUAAAAGUGCCAGAAAACAGGUCCAGAGCAGAGCAGAAGAUGCUGAUCAAUGGGCUCUCAUUUUCAUGGCUGAGGAAGUGGAUCACACGGUCAGAACACUUGGACUGGAGAAGCAAAGCCACUUAAGGUGUCAGCUGCUGUCCGACGAACUGUUCUAAGGAGACAGCCACCCAUCUGCCCCCAGCUGCCUUUCCAGAAACCUCCCUAUGUUACCAGGAAACCUCUAGGAAUACUUAGAACCCACAGAGGCAUCGUACACAGACACACAGCUAGGAGACCAGGCUGAACACUUCUGGGAAAGAUUGAACUUACUGCUGUGUAAAUAAAGGCUUUCCAGACUUGG